This 247-nucleotide ribosomal RNA is filed under the name uncultured bacterium. RNAcentral describes it as "partial 16S ribosomal RNA". It matches the Rfam family "Bacterial small subunit ribosomal RNA", at positions 15 to 266 of the family's 1533-position model. The record is from RNAcentral.
GAUCAUGGCUCAGGACGAACGCUGGCGGCGUGCUUAACACAUGCAAGUCGAACGGUAGGGCCCUUCGGGUACGACGAGUGGCGAACGGGUGAGUAACACGUGAGUAACCUGCCCUUGACUCUGGGAUAACAGCCGGAAACGGUUGCUAAUACCGGAUAUGAGCCCCUACCGCAUGGUGGGGGUUGGAAAGCUCCGGCGGUCAUGGAUGGACUCGCGGCCUAUCAGCUUGUUGGUGAGGUAGUGGCUC